GACGAACGCUGGCGGCGUGCUUAACACAUGCAAGUCGAACGGAAAGGCCUGCUUUCCCUUGUGGAUUGCGGGUACUCGAGUGGCGAACGGGUGAGUAACACGUGAGUGAUCUGCCCCCAACUUGGGUAUAAGCCUGGGAAACUGGGUCUAAUUCCCGAUAGGACUGCAGGGUGGUGCCUGUGGUGGAAAACGAUUUUCUAGUGGUUGGGGAUGAGCUCGCGGCCUAUCAGCUUGUUGGUGGGGUAAUGGCCUACCAAGGCGGCGACGGGUAGCCGGCCUGAGAGGGUGGACGGCCACAUUGGGACUGAGAGACGGCCCAGACUCCGACGGGAGGCAGCAGUGGGGAAUAUUGCACAAUGGGCGGAAGCCUGAUGCAGCGACGCCGCGUGGGGGAUGACGGCCUUCGGGUGGUAAACUCCUUUCGACCGCGAGGAAGCCACCUGGUUGGAAGGGUGGUGACGGUAGUGGUAGAAGAAGCACCGGCUAACUACGUG
This 494-nucleotide ribosomal RNA is filed under the name uncultured bacterium. Its description in RNAcentral is "partial 16S ribosomal RNA". It matches the Rfam family "Bacterial small subunit ribosomal RNA", at positions 28 to 507 of the family's 1533-position model. The record is from RNAcentral.